This 458-nucleotide ribosomal RNA is filed under the name uncultured bacterium. RNAcentral's name for it is "partial 16S ribosomal RNA". It matches the Rfam family "Bacterial small subunit ribosomal RNA", at positions 338 to 795 of the family's 1533-position model. The record is from RNAcentral.
CCUACGGGAGACUGCAGUGAGGAAUAUUGGUCAAUGGGCGAGAGCCUGAACCAGCCAAGUCGCGUGAGGGAGUACUGCCCUAUGGGUUGUAAACCUCUUUUGUCGGGGAGCAAAAGCCGGACGUGUCCGGCUGUGAGAGUACCCGAAGAAAAAGCAUCGGCUAACUCCGUGCCAGCAGCCGCGUUAAUACGGGGGAUGCGAGCGUUAUCCGGAUUUAGUGGGUUUAAGGGGUGCGCAGGCGGAUUUUUAUGUAAGCGGUAAAAUUGUGGGGCUAAACCCCAUCCAGCCGUUGAAACUGGGGAUCUAGAGUGUGCGAGAGGUAUGCGGAAUGCGUGGUGUAGCGGUGAAAUGCAUAGAUAUCACGCAGAACCCCGAUUGCGAAGGCAGCAUACCGGUGCACAACUGACGCUCAGGCACGAAAGCGUGGGUAUCGAACAGGAUUAGAUACCCUUGUAGUC